AGCUAACGCUGGCGGCAUGCCUAACACAUGCAAGUCGAACGGUAACAGGCCGCAAGGUGCUGACGAGUGGCGAACGGGUGAGUAAUGCAUCGGAACGUGCCCAGUCGUGGGGGAUAACGCAGCGAAAGCUGUGCUAAUACCGCAUACGAUCUAUGGAUGAAAGCGGGGGACCGUAGGGCCUCGCGCGAUUGGAGCGGCCGAUGUCAGAUUAGGUAGUUGGUGGGGUAAAGGCUCACCAAGCCAACGAUCUGUAGCUGGUCUGAGAGGACGACCAGCCAGACUGGGACUGAGACACGGCCCAGACUCCUACGGGAGGCAGCAGUGGGGAAUUUUGGACAAUGGGCGCAAGCCUGAUCCAGCAAUGCCGCGUGCAGGAAGAAGGCCUUCGGGUUGUAAACUGCUUUUGUACGGAACGAAAAGGUUUGGGUUAAUACCCUGGGCCGAUGACGGUACCGUAAGAAUAAGCACCGGCUAACUACGUGCCAGCCGCCGCAGUAA
This 498-nucleotide ribosomal RNA is filed under the name uncultured bacterium. RNAcentral describes it as "partial 16S ribosomal RNA". It matches the Rfam family "Bacterial small subunit ribosomal RNA", at positions 29 to 523 of the family's 1533-position model. The record is from RNAcentral.